UACGUAGGGACCAAGCGUGGUUCGGAUUUACGGGGCGUAAAGGGCGCGUAGGCGGCAUAUUAAGUCAGCUGUGAAAUCUCCGAGCUUAACUCGGAACUGUCAGCUGAUACUGAUGUGCUAGAGUGCAGAAGGGGCAAUCGGAAUUCUUGGUGUAGCGGUGAAAUGCGUAGAUAUCAAGAGGAACACCUGAGGUGAAGACGGGUUGCUGGGCUGACACUGACGCUGAUAGCGCGAAAGCCAGGGGAGCAAACGGG
This 254-nucleotide ribosomal RNA is filed under the name uncultured bacterium. RNAcentral describes it as "partial 16S ribosomal RNA". It matches the Rfam family "Bacterial small subunit ribosomal RNA", at positions 524 to 776 of the family's 1533-position model. The record is from RNAcentral.